Molecule: ribosomal RNA, 1187 nt
Filed under: human gut metagenome
Description: bacterial LSU rRNA
Rfam family: Bacterial large subunit ribosomal RNA
Source: RNAcentral
UUGCAAAAUUAGCGGAUGAGCUGUGGAUAGGGGUGAAAGGCUAAACAAAUCUGGAGAUAGCUGGUUCUCCCCGAAAACUAUUGAGGUAGUGCCUCGCGUAUCACUCCAGGGGGUAGAGCACUGUUAUGGCUAGGGGGACAUGGCGUCUUACCAAACCAUGGCAAACUCCGAAUACUUGGAAGUGUGAGCGCGGGAGACAGAGCACCGGGUGCUAACGUCCGGACUCAAAAGGGAAACAACCCAGACCGCCGGCUAAGGUCCCUAAUAUUUGCUAAGUGGAAAACGAAGUGGAAAGGCUAAGACAGUCAGGAAGUUGGCUUAGAAGCAGCCAUCCUUUAAAGAAAGCGUAAUAGCUCACUGAUCGAGUCUUUCUGCGCGGAAGAUGUAACGGGGCUAAGCAAGUAACCGAAGCCGCGGAUUCAUACGUAAGUAUGAGUGGUAGGGGAGCGUUCUGUAAGCCUGCGAAGGUGUGUUGAGAAGCAUGCUGGAGGUAUCAGAAGUGCGAAUGCUGACAUGAGUAACGUUAAAGCGGGUGAAAAGCCCGCUCGCCGUAAGCCCAAGGUUUCCUGCUCUACGUUCAUCGGAGCAGGGUGAGUCGGCCCCUAAGGCCAGGCUGAGAAGCGUAGUCGAUGGGAACAAGGUUAAUAUUCCUAGACCAUUGUCAAGUAUGCGAUGGGGGGACGGAGUGCGAAAGAUGAUCCGGGUGUUGGACAUCCCGGUUUGUGAGAGUAGAAGGAGAGUAGGCAAAUCCGCUCUCGAAUCUUCGAGUCAAAACAUCGAUUCUCCACGUGAGAAGAAGUCAUCGGAAGUGCUUCCAAGAAAAGCCUCUAAGUGGUAGCUUGACAAGACCGUACCGCAAACCGACACUGGUGGGCGAGUUGAAUAUACUAAGGCGCUUGAGAGAACUCGGGAGAAGGAACUCGGCAAAUUGACACCGUAACUUCGGAAGAAGGUGUGCCUUUGUAGCGUGAGAGAAGAAACAUCUUAAGCGUGAAGAGGCCUCAGAGAAUAGGUGGCUGCAACUGUUUACUAAAAACAUAGCACUCUGCAAAGAUGAAAGUCGACGUAUAGGGUGUGAUGCCUGCCCGGUGCUGGAAGAUUAAUUGAUGGGGUGCAAGCUCCUGAUCGAAGUCCCAGUAAACGGCGGCCGUAACUAUAACGGUCCUAAGGUAGCGAAAUUCCUUGUC